RNAcentral lists this unclassified non-coding RNA (633 nucleotides) under Hevea brasiliensis (rubber tree). Lineage: Eukaryota; Viridiplantae; Streptophyta; Magnoliopsida; Malpighiales; Euphorbiaceae. The record is from RNAcentral.
UGAAGGAGUUGGAGGUGCUAGAUUUUGGACUCAAUAACUUCACUGGGCCUCUUCCACCUGAUCUUGGCAGUAAUCUCUCUCUGACAAUCCUUCUCCUGGACAACAACAGGCUUCUUGGCAACUUAUCACCUGAAAUUCAUCACCUGAAAACACAUUCUGAAUUUCAAGCAGAUGAAAACCAACUUGCUAGUGCUGCUAAAGGAUCAUCUUGCAAUAAAAGAUCUGCCAUAUGGAAUGCUGUGCAAGCUGAAAAUGCAAUUAACAAGCGACAGCUGCUAGCAGCCAGUGCCCCUGGAGUAAAUGAAUCACCAUAUUUACGAGGCCAUAAAUUUGUUCCAUUAACACCUACUGAAUCUGGAAAUGCUCCACCUAGUAUUGUGGCGCCACCAUCCUUGCCUUUGCCACCUCCACUGGAACCAAAUCCGCCUUCCUCGUCAAAAAGCCAUGUUGCAAUAAUUGCUGGAGCCAUAGGGGGUGCUCUACUUGUCAUGUCCAUUAUCGUCAUCUAUAUUUGUAAAGUUAACAAGGCUACUGUCAAACCUUGGGCCACAGGAUUGAGUGGACAACUUCAGAAAGCAUUUAUAACCGGUGUGCCAAAGCUUAAGAGAUCUGAGCUUGAAGCAGGCUGUGAAG